This 249-nucleotide long non-coding RNA is filed under the name Fukomys damarensis (Damara mole-rat). Its description in RNAcentral is "lncRNA (ENSFDAG00000027613.1)". Lineage: Eukaryota; Metazoa; Chordata; Mammalia; Rodentia; Bathyergidae. The record is from RNAcentral.
AAGACCAUCUCUGGUGCCUUGUGACCUGGCCUCUCGUGUCUUGGGCAUAGCCUGGGUUGCCGGAUGAAUCCCUCCACAGCGAGACGGGUGAGACCACUCAUUAGCCUCUGCACAAAGAGAUACUCCACCUGCUCUGCCAAAUCACAGGGCACUUUGGUGUCUACUAAGAGGACAGCUCCCAAUCCUGCUUCCAUGGCUGCACAUCCAUGCCCACACAGAAAAGGGAACAUUUCACCCAGGGACACGUAA